This 460-nucleotide ribosomal RNA is filed under the name uncultured bacterium. Its description in RNAcentral is "partial 16S ribosomal RNA". It matches the Rfam family "Bacterial small subunit ribosomal RNA", at positions 338 to 795 of the family's 1533-position model. The record is from RNAcentral.
CCUACGGGAGGCUGCAGUGAGGAAUAUUGGUCAAUGGACGCAAGUCUGAACCAGCCAUGCCGCGUGCAGGAAGACGGCUCUAUGAGUUGUAAACUGCUUUUGUACGAGGGUAAAUCCCGAUACGUGUAUCGGGUUGAAAGUAGCGGACGAAUAAGCAUCGGCUAACUCCGUGCCAGCAGCCGCGGUAAUACGGAGGAUUCAAGCGUUAUCCGGAUUUAUUGGGUUUUAAGGGUGCGUAGGCGGUUCGAUAAGUUAGGGGUGAAAUGCAGGGGCUUAACUCCGGCACUGCCUCUGACACUGUCGGGCUAGAGUGUAGGUGCGGUAGGCGGAAUGUAUGGUGUAGCGGUGAAAUGCAUAGAGAUCAUACAGAACACCGAUUGCGAAGGCAGCUUACCAAACUACGACGGACGUUGAGGCACGAAAGCGUGGGGAGCGAACAGGAUUAGAUACCCGUGUAGUC